GGCAGCCGGUACAAAAGCGUAGUCCGCUCGCCGGCUCUUCCUCUGCUCCCAUUGUCGCCUGUCACUUUUAGUGUGAGGUCACGUCUCCGAUCGGGCGACUGGUUGGGUGCUGCUCCGUGCUGUGUGUGCACGCUGCUGUGGGUUGAUCGGCAGUGGUGCAUGCUGGCAGCUGCCUGAAGCUCUCUUCCUUUUCCUCUCGUGAGCGUUUGUUACUGCAAGAAGGUGAUCUUAACCACCUAACGGCCGCUGCUGCUUUGUAGCCACUGAGUUUUGGUUCGUGUUGGUGGCCGCUGCGGGCUCGUGUGGCGUCAUUCGGUGGCCGUCGGAAACGUUACCGCCGA
Long non-coding RNA from Solea senegalensis (Senegalese sole), 341 nucleotides. RefSeq lists it as uncharacterized. The transcript has 4 exons. The record is from RefSeq and is a predicted model, not a curated record. Lineage: Eukaryota; Metazoa; Chordata; Actinopteri; Pleuronectiformes; Soleidae.